GGCAAAGCUUCAUUAAAAGGAAUCCCAGAUAAUUUGGUUGAGUCUGUAUUUUCCAGUGAUGAUGACUGAGGAGGCUCUGUUUUUAAAUGCUAUAACCAGCACGAUUCAUUUCAGUGGCUCCUGAAGAGAGGGCUUUGACGGGAGUUGCUGGUCUGCAAAGAGUCCAGCUUUGUUUUUAGCAGAGACACAUCGGCCUCCUUUUCUCCCUCUUCAGCCCCUGCCUGCCCUCUCGUCGUGCUCUUUCCCUUGUGCAGAUCCAAAUCUGCUGCUGGGCAUUUUUAGUCGAGCUAAGCUGUCGCAGAGAUAAGUUCUGCGCCCACUUCUCUGUGCCCAAGGUGGCGUCUUUCUUCUCUCCCCAGAAGGGGUAACUCCACAGCUAUUUGGCAUGUCCCACCCCCAUCUUCUACAAAUCGCUAUUGGACUGAAGACAGAUGACAGAAUUGGAACAGGAUCAGGGAAACCUUCUACUUGGAGAAGUAUCCCCAAGUUACAAGGUCUUGCUACCCCUGGGACCCACAGAUACACCCAUUGAUUGGUCCUGGCCUGUCUUCCUCCAGUGAUGGCGCUUCCAGACCAGCUUGGCAAGGGCCACAUAUUUCUCUCUCAAAACAAGGCACUAGGCUUAAGACAUAGUUCCUGGAUCUCUUGGGAUCUGCUUGAAGUUGCAAGAUUUCUGAUACAACAGCUACCUGUCUCUUAGCAGGGAUAAAUUUCACACUUGGAUUCAAACAUCAAUUGUACAAACGCGAUAUGGCAGAGAUGGGCCCUACCAGCAGACCAUGUGGAAAAGGACUGAGGAGGUUUUAUUAAUGACACAUAAGUGUGAGUCAACAGCAGCCAUUGAAAUGCACACAAGGCCGGGCGUGG
RNAcentral lists this long non-coding RNA (867 nucleotides) under Homo sapiens (human). Its description in RNAcentral is "HSALNT0016840". Lineage: Eukaryota; Metazoa; Chordata; Mammalia; Primates; Hominidae. The record is from RNAcentral.